This is a non-coding RNA of Schistosoma curassoni, 45 nucleotides long. Lineage: Eukaryota; Metazoa; Platyhelminthes; Trematoda; Strigeidida; Schistosomatidae. The record is from Rfam.
AUCCAGAUGACGAAUCCCAAAUACGACGAAACGCGCGUCCUGGAU